AGCGAACGCUGGCGGCAGGCUUAACACAUGCAAGUCGAGCGGGCAUCUUCGGAUGUCAGCGGCAGACGGGUGAGUAACACGUGGGAACGUACCCUUCGGUUCGGAACAACUCUGGGAAACUGGAGCUAAUACCGGAUACGCCCUUAUGGGGAAAGGUUUACUGCCGAAGGAUCGGCCCGCGUCUGAUUAGCUAGUUGGUGGGGUAACGGCCUACCAAGGCGACGAUCAGUAGCUGGUCUGAGAGGAUGAUCAGCCACACUGGGACUGAGACACGGCCCAGACUCCUACGGGAGGCAGCAGUGGGGAAUAUUAGACAAUGGGCGCAAGCCUGAUCCAGCCAUGCCGCGUGAGUGAUGAAGGCCUUAGGGUUGUAAAGCUCUUUUGUCCGGGACGAUAAUGACGGUACCGGAAGAAUAAGCCCCGGCUAACUUCGU
RNAcentral lists this ribosomal RNA (434 nucleotides) under uncultured bacterium. RNAcentral's name for it is "partial 16S ribosomal RNA". It matches the Rfam family "Bacterial small subunit ribosomal RNA", at positions 29 to 506 of the family's 1533-position model. The record is from RNAcentral.